Molecule: ribosomal RNA, 296 nt
Filed under: uncultured bacterium
Lineage: Bacteria
Description: partial 16S ribosomal RNA
Rfam family: Bacterial small subunit ribosomal RNA
Source: RNAcentral
CCUACGGGAGGCAGCAGUGGGGAAUUUUGGUACAAUGGGCGAAAGCCUGAUCCAGCAAUGCCGCGUGAGUGAAGAAGGCCUUCGGGUUGUAAAGCUCUUUUGUCAGGGAAGAAACGGUGAGAGCUAAUAUCUCUUGCUAAUGACGGUACCUGAAGAAUAAGCACCGGCUAACUACGUGCCAGCAGCCGCGGUAAUACGUAGGGUGCAAGCGUUAAUCGGAAUUACUGGGCGUAAAGCGUGCGCAGGCGGUUUUGUAAGUCUGUCGUGAAAUCCCCGGGCUCAACCUGGGAAUUGCG